Molecule: ribosomal RNA, 468 nt
Filed under: uncultured bacterium
Lineage: Bacteria
Description: partial 16S ribosomal RNA
Rfam family: Bacterial small subunit ribosomal RNA
Source: RNAcentral
GACGAACGCUGGCGGCGUGCUUAACACAUGCAAGUCGAACGGAAAGGCCCUGCUUUUGUGGGGUGCUCGAGUGGCGAACGGGUGAGUAACACGUGAGUAACCUGCCCUUGACUUUGGGAUAACUUCAGGAAACUGGGGCUAAUACCGGAUAGGAGCUCCUGCUGCAUGGUGGGGGUUGGAAAGUUUCGGCGGUUGGGGAUGGACUCGCGGCUUAUCAGCUUGUUGGUGGGGUAGUGGCUUACCAAGGCUUUGACGGGUAGCCGGCCUGAGAGGGUGACCGGCCACAUUGGGACUGAGAUACGGCCCAGACUCCUACGUGAGGCAGCAGUGGGGAAUAUUGCACAAUAGGCGGAAGCCUGAUGCAGCAACGCCGCGUGCGGGAUGACGGCCUUCGGGUUGUAAACCGCUUUCGCCUGUGGCGAAGCGUGAGUGACGGUAAUGGGUAAAGAAGCACCGGCUAACUACGUG